This 253-nucleotide ribosomal RNA is filed under the name uncultured bacterium. Its description in RNAcentral is "partial 16S ribosomal RNA". It matches the Rfam family "Bacterial small subunit ribosomal RNA", at positions 524 to 776 of the family's 1533-position model. The record is from RNAcentral.
GACGAAGGUGGCGAGCGUUGUUCGGAAUCACUGGGCUUAAAGAGCACGUAGGCGGGCCGCCUUGCGUCCUGUGAAAUCCCCCGGCUCAACCGGGGAAUGGCAGGGCGAACGGGCGGUCUUGAGGCAGGUAGAGGUGUGGGGAACUCUUGGUGGAGCGGUGGAAUGCGUAGAUAUCAAGAGGAACGCCGGAGACGAAGGUGCCGCACUGGGCCUGUCCUGACGCUGAGGUGCGAAAGCCAGGGGAGCAAACGGG